AUCACGUUUCCCGUAGGUGACCCUGCGUAGGAUCAUUA
Molecule: ribosomal RNA, 38 nt
Filed under: Inocybe subporospora
Lineage: Eukaryota; Fungi; Basidiomycota; Agaricomycetes; Agaricales; Inocybaceae
Description: partial 18S ribosomal RNA
Source: RNAcentral